GAUGAAGAACGUAGCGAACUGCGAAAAUUAAUGCGACCCGCAACACGUGAGUCAUCGAGUUUUUGAACGCAUAUUGCACCCGACAGAAACUGUCGGGUCUGCCUGGCUGAGUAUCAGUACGUGCCCGGUCGUUGUAUGCAAAUUUAUUAAUAGGUUUGUAUAUCCGACGUACCGGUGAUCGUUGAGCAGCAAUGCUGCUUGACGGAUGUGAGUGUCCGGUGGUCUUUUGUACCGCUGGUCAUUUGAAAUUCAUCGGUGCCGCGCAUCGUCUCUCGAGACGUUGUCGACUUGUUAGCGUUGUAAUCAUCCUCGGAUGUCUUCGCAUUAUAUACGGUCGGCGUCAAACUAUGCAGCGACACUUGUACGCAUACUAUAUAUAUAUACUCUCCCCUUGAUCUCAGAUCAGGCAGGAUGACCCGCUGAACUUAAGUAUAUCAAUAAGCGGAGGA
This 449-nucleotide unclassified non-coding RNA is filed under the name soil metagenome. RNAcentral's name for it is "partial contains internal transcribed spacer 2 and large subunit ribosomal RNA". The stretch from base 1 to 116 matches the Rfam family "5.8S ribosomal RNA", at positions 35 to 154 of the family's 154-position model. The record is from RNAcentral.